Molecule: ribosomal RNA, 215 nt
Filed under: Campeiostachys nutans
Lineage: Eukaryota; Viridiplantae; Streptophyta; Magnoliopsida; Poales; Poaceae
Description: Elymus nutans partial small subunit ribosomal RNA
Rfam family: Eukaryotic small subunit ribosomal RNA (bases 46-215)
Source: RNAcentral
GGAUCAAUAUGUCGGUCGUGCUUCGGUACGUACUGGUAUCAUUGGUUUCUCCUUUCUGACGAACCAUGAUGUCAUUAAUUUGGUGUUAUGGGGAGUUAGGACUGUUACUUUGAAAAAAUUAGAGUGUUUAAAGCAGGCUUUAGCUUCAAUACAUUAGCAUGGAAUAAUGAAAUAGGACGUUCGAACCUAUUUUGUUGGUUUCUAGGACUUGAGUA